AUUGGGAUGUCUGAUUAAAAGAGAUAAACUGUAAAUUUAUUUAUGAAUUUAUAUUCUCCUAAUA
RNAcentral lists this transfer RNA (64 nucleotides) under Japanagallia spinosa. RNAcentral's name for it is "tRNA-Tyr". RNAcentral also lists the same sequence under 1 other name. The record is from RNAcentral. Lineage: Eukaryota; Metazoa; Arthropoda; Insecta; Hemiptera; Cicadellidae.